This 576-nucleotide ribosomal RNA is filed under the name uncultured bacterium. RNAcentral's name for it is "bacterial SSU rRNA". It matches the Rfam family "Bacterial small subunit ribosomal RNA", at positions 28 to 638 of the family's 1533-position model. The record is from RNAcentral.
AAUCAACGCUGGCGGCGUGCCUAACACAUGCAAGUCGCACGAGAAAGGGCUUCGGCCUGAGUAAAGUGGCGCACGGGUGAGUAACACGUGAAUCAUCUACCUCCGAGUGGGGAAUAACCUAGAGAAAUCUGGGCUAAUACCGCAUAACACUUACGAGUCAAAGCAGCAAUGCGCUUGGAGAGGAGUUCGCGGCCGAUUAGCUAGUUGGCGGGGUAAUGGCCCACCAAGGCGAUGAUCGGUAUCCGGCCUGAGAGGGCGCACGGACACACUGGAACUGAAACACGGUCCAGACUCCUACGGGAGGCAGCAGUGGGGAAUUUUGCGCAAUGGGGGAAACCCUGACGCAGCAACGCCGCGUGGAGGAUGAAAUCCCUUGGGAUGUAAACUCCUUUCGAUAGGGAAGAUAAUGACGGUACCUAUAGAAGAAGCCCCGGCUAACUUCGUGCCAGCAGCCGCGGUAAUACGAGGGGGGCAAGCGUUGUUCGGAAUUAUUGGGCGUAAAGGGUGCGUAGGCGGUUUGACAAGUCUUGUGUGAAAUCUAUGGGCUCAACCCAUAGUCUGCACAGGAAACUGUCG